GCAGCCAUAUGUUGAAACACUGGUUCCCAUACGAUCACUGAAGCUAAACAACAUUGAGCUUGUUUAGUACCUAGAUGGGUGACCGCUUGGGAAUAUCAGGUGAUGUA
Molecule: non-coding RNA, 107 nt
Organism: Acanthosepion pharaonis
Lineage: Eukaryota; Metazoa; Mollusca; Cephalopoda; Sepiida; Sepiidae
Source: the annotation of a GenBank genome assembly